CCGCGAGUGACAUCAUGACAAUUGCUGUUUUCAGCCAUGAGGUGGCACUUUUGUUUUGUGAUACCCAAGCAAUCUGGACAGAUAAUGCUGAUUUGUACUUCUGUAUACAAAACUUGGAUGAAUCUAAAAAAACUUCAGUUCGCAACUGUAAAGCUGACUGUGAUGUUUAUAUUCCUGCAGUUUUCUCACCAUGAACCUGGUGUUACCCACGUCAUAGUAACAGGAGGAGCUGGUUAUAUUGGAUCACAUGCCUCUUUAAGGUUCUUCAAGGAUAACUAUCGAGUUACCAUUGUGAGGAAACAUGGGAGCAGUAAAGGUUCUUCAGGAGUUAUUUCCGCAGCCUGGGAGGCUACAAUUUAUCUUUGCUGUGAUCUGGGAGGCUACAAUCCAAAGUUUUGUUUUUCACUUAACUGGCUCCCAGGUCAACAAGAUAUUUGCUGAAAAUGCAUUUGAUUCUGUGAUGCACUUUGCUGCAGUUGCUUAUGUGGGUGAAAGCACACUGGAACCCCUUAGCUGUUUGAUAUAACGAGGGGACAAGGCAGGCAUGGCCAGUGACUGGUGGGAAAGCAUGCGACAUGUCAGACAUUGCCUGUCGACGCAACUUCGACUCCUACUCGGCGAGAGCUAUUUAGAGCGUUAUUCGGUUCGUUUGCAGUGAAUAAAAUG
Molecule: long non-coding RNA, 666 nt
Organism: Panicum virgatum (switchgrass)
Lineage: Eukaryota; Viridiplantae; Streptophyta; Magnoliopsida; Poales; Poaceae
Exons: 3
Source: RefSeq, a predicted model, not a curated record